RNAcentral lists this ribosomal RNA (1247 nucleotides) under metagenome. Its description in RNAcentral is "bacterial LSU rRNA". It matches the Rfam family "Bacterial large subunit ribosomal RNA", at positions 1564 to 2817 of the family's 2925-position model. The record is from RNAcentral.
UGAAUACGAGAUACUACGGUAUUGAAGCAGUGUAUGUCAUACUUCCAAGAAAAGCUCGCACUAUCAUAAGUUAAGAAUGCCUGUACCAUAACCGACACAGGUGGGUAGGUAGAGUAUACUAAGGGGCGCGAGAUAACUCUCUCUAAGGAACUCGGCAAAAUGACUCCGUAACUUCGGGAGAAGGAGUGCCUUAUAUUUAAUAAGGUUGCAAUAACAAGAUCCAAGCAACUGUUUACCAAAAACACAGGUCUCCGCUAAGUCGUAAGACGAUGUAUGGGGGCUGACGCCUGCCCAGUGCCAGAAGGUUAAAGAAGUCGGUUAGCUUUUGCGAAGCUGGUAACUGAAGCCCUGGUGAACGGCGGCCGUAACGAUAACGGUCCUAAGGUAGCGAAAUUCCUUGUCGGGUAUGUUCCGACCCGCACGAAAGGCGUAAUGAUUUGGAUACUGUCUCGGAGAGGGACUCGGUGAAAUAGACUUGUCUGUGAAGAUGCGGACUACCUGCACCUGGACAGAAAGACCCUAUGAAGCUUUACUGUAACCUGAAAUUGAAAUUGGACUUUAUUUGCGCAGUAUAGGUGGGAGGUGUUGAGAAUAAUCUUGCGGGAUUAUUGGAGCCAUCAGUGAGAUACCACUCUUGUAAUGUUAGAUUUCUAACUUUGUAUCAUUAUCUGGUCAAAGAACAGUUUCAGGCGGGCAGUUUGACUGGGGCGGUCGCCUCCCAAAUGGUAACGGAGGCGCACAAAGGUUUCCUCUGAACGGGUAGAAAUCGUAUCUAGAGUGUAAAGGCAUAAGGAAGCUUGACUGUGAGACCUACAAGUCGAGCAGGGACGAAAGUCGGUCUUAGUGAUCUGACGGUGCUGAGUGGAAAGGCCGUCACUCAACGGAUAAAAGUUACUCUAAGGAUAACGGGCUGAUCUCCCCCAAGAGUUCACAUCGACGGGGAGGUUUGGCACCUCGAUGUCGGCUCAUCGCAUCCUGGGGCGGUAGUACGUCCCAAGGGUUGGGCUGUUCGCCCAUGAAAGCGGUACGCGAGCUGGGUUCAGAACGUCGUGAGACAGUUCGGUCCAUAUCCGGUGUAGGCGUUAGAAUAUUGAGAGGAGCCUUCUCUAGUACGAGAGGACCGAGAAGGACAUACCUCUGGUGUACCAGUUAUCGUGCCAACGGUAAACGCUGGGUAGCUAUGUAUGGAGUGGAUAACCGCUGAAAGCAUCUAAGUGGGAAGCCCACCUCAAGAUAAGUAUUCUCAC